UACGGGAGGGAGGAGUGGGGAAUAUUGGGCAAUGGGCGAAAGCCUGACGCAGCGACGCCGCGUGAAGGAAGAAGGUCUUCGGAUUGUGAACUUCUUUUAUGAGGGACGAAGGACGUGACGGUACCUCAUGAAUAAGCCACGGCUAACUACGUGCCAGCAGCCGCGGUAAU
Molecule: ribosomal RNA, 170 nt
Filed under: uncultured rumen bacterium
Lineage: Bacteria
Description: partial 16S ribosomal RNA
Rfam family: Bacterial small subunit ribosomal RNA
Source: RNAcentral